CGGAUUCUGGUUCAGGACGAACGCUGGCGGCGUGCCUAAUACAUGCAAGUCGAACGGUCUUUCUAUGGAAGCUUGCUUCCACUGAGAAGAUAGUGGCGAACGGGUGAGUAACACGUGGGUAACCUGCCCAUAAGAGGGGGAUAACAUCCGGAAACGGGUGCUAAUACCGCAUAGUUUUCUUGAUCGCAUGAUCGGGAAAGGAAAGACGGCCUUUGUGCUGUCGCUUAUGGAUGGACCCGCGGCGUAUUAGUUAGUUGGUGAGGUAACGGCUCACCAAGACGAUGAUACGUAGCCGACCUGAGAGGGUGAUCGGCCACAUUGGGACUGAGACACGGCCCAAACUCCUACGGGAGGCAGCAGUAGGGAAUCUUCCGCAAUGGACGAAAGUCUGACGGAGCAACGCCGCGUGAGUGAAGAAAGGUUUUCGGAUCGUAAAACUCUGUUGUCAGAGAAGAACAAGUUGGAGAGUAACUGCUCCAGCCUUGACGGUAUCUGACCAGAAAGCCACGGCUAACUACGUGCCAGCCGCAGC
This 532-nucleotide ribosomal RNA is filed under the name uncultured bacterium. RNAcentral's name for it is "bacterial SSU rRNA". It matches the Rfam family "Bacterial small subunit ribosomal RNA", at positions 13 to 518 of the family's 1533-position model. The record is from RNAcentral.